GAUGAACGCUGGCGGCGUGCCUAAUACAUGCAAGUCGAGCGAACAGAUGAGGAGCUUGCUCCUCUGACGUUAGCGGCGGACGGGUGAGUAACACGUGGAUAACCUACCUCUCAGACUGGGAUACCUUCGGGAAACCGGAGCUAAUACCGGAUAAUAUAUUGAACCGCAUGGUUCAAUAGUUAAAGACGGUUUUGCUGUCACUUAUAGAUGGCUCCGCGCCGCAUUAGCUAGUUGGGAAGGUAACGGCUUACCAAGGCAACGAUGCGUAGCCGACCUGAGAGGGAGGUCGGCCAGAUUGGAAGUGAGGCAGGGCCGAGACACCGACGGGGGGAAGCAGUAGGGAAUCUUCCGCAAUGGAGGAGAGCCGGACGGAGCAACGCCGCGGGAGGGAUGAAGGUCUUCGGAUGGGAAAGCGCUGUUAUUAGGAAAGAAGAAAUGUGUAAGUAACUAUGCACGUCUUGACGGUACCUAAUCAGAAAGCCACGGCUAACUACGUG
Molecule: ribosomal RNA, 497 nt
Filed under: uncultured bacterium
Lineage: Bacteria
Description: partial 16S ribosomal RNA
Rfam family: Bacterial small subunit ribosomal RNA
Source: RNAcentral